This is a long non-coding RNA of Helianthus annuus (common sunflower), 1930 nucleotides long. RefSeq lists it as uncharacterized. The record is from RefSeq and is a predicted model, not a curated record. The transcript has 7 exons. NCBI's taxonomy places the organism in Eukaryota, Viridiplantae, Streptophyta, Magnoliopsida, Asterales, Asteraceae.
CCGCUCCCUCCUAGUAUUUUGAUUCCCCGCACCCCAAAUCAGUUUAUCUACCCUAACCCUAGCCUAACUUCACCCCACGCACAAUUGAUCUUCUUCAUUUGCAUCUACUCUCCACUUUCCCUCCAUAUAAAUCGAUCAUCUCAAAUACAUCAUCUGGUGUAAAUCUCCCUCUAAGUUGAUCAUCUCAAAUUCGUCAACCGGAGGUUUUCCAUAACCAUGGUUUAUUUAUUGUGCUGCUAUGGGUCCGUAUUAUGCAAUUGUGGAUUCAUUUGUUGCAAUUUUAGCUCCUUCCAUAUUCAAGGUAUAAUACUCCUGCCUAGUACCGUUCUUUUCAAUACCGUAGUAGUUUAUAAGUCAUGCACACCAACUAUUUGAUUAAAUGCCUGCGUGUUUUUGAUCCCCAUUUGGAAUUACAUUUUUCCGAGUCGGUGUUCUAUGUGUGGUGCUUGGUUCAGGUAGGUCUUCCAAAUUCAAACUCACAAAUAUCAGCUACGAAGUUGUCUCUUAGUGUUGCUCAUUGCUAGAGCUCUGCAAGAUGUUAUGAUGAAAACGAAAGGGCAUAUGGUAUAUGUUAAUCUGAAGAAAAAAUGAUUGGUUUGUGAUCUUUUUUUAACGGCAAAGAAUCUCAUGUGUAAACCCACCCUGCUCGGGGCUAUGUCCAAGGUCGACUCCCCGCCCGCAAUGAGACGUGCCCCCUGAUGCGCGAAGUUAAUUUUAUUAAAAACAUAAUCACAAGCUAAAAGGAAUCCCAAACACCCCCAUACAAAUUCUGACUUCUCAAUUUCUGGAGACGAGUUUAAAUAAGUGACGGACAAGAGUCAUCUGCACAAGAAGAGAAGAUUUUUGUUGCAGUGAAGCUUAGACUUUUCAGUGCAAACAAAAUUGCAAAGGAUGAUGCAUUUGAUUGGGAGUGCACAAACCAUUAUCAUAUUAAAAACAACACUUUAGAAUGAUCAACGUAUCCAUUAGCGAAACACCUAUCAUCUAGCCAUCCAUCUUCUUGCAUUUCCUUUAAAUUUAUACCCAUAAAUGUGACAUGCAUAUGAUGAUUGUUCUGGAAUAGUCUGAGUAUAUGGGUGUGAUAGUUCAACAAAACAAGUGUACGUGGAGGGAGUCAAAGGGAUUGCUUUUUUUUUUGUUCUUAAUGGCGUUAACCGUAAGGUACUUAUGUGAUCAUCUUGAACUUUGAAAACACACGUUUCCUUUUAAUCUUUGUCUCAAGUGCACAAUUUUAUGUUUUAGCAAAAUGAUAGAGAAUUUGCAUUGAAAGUUUCCACCAUAGAAAUCUACAACGAAAGUGUCAGAGAUCUUUUAAGCCAAGAUACUUCCCAACUUAGAUUCCUUGAUGACCUAGAGGCCAGAGAGAGGGACAGUUGUAGAAAAACUAACAUAAGUUAAUCUGAGGGACUGCAAUCAUCUAAAGGAACUUAUUAAUGGGUGUGAAGCUGAGAAGCAAACUGGGGAGACAAUAUUGAAUUAAAGGAGUUUCUAGAUCUCAUCCUUUGUUUGGUACCUAUCUCUAUUUUAAAAGAUCGCUACCGGAAAUCGCAGUUUGCUAACUCUACCAAUUGUUAUUUGCGAAUUAAGGAAGUUGUAAAUCGUACACAUUUGAAGACAUAUUUGGAGAUAUUUGACCCGGUUCACGCAUUUGACAUAGUUCAUCAGUUGAUAGGAGGCUAAAAUAGCAUAACACUUUUAAAAGGUUUUUGAGUGGGCACAAGCAAUUCCUAAAUUUCUGGUCACCAUGUGAUGUAUGUGCCAAUUUUCCUUGAACGAACGUAUGAAAGAAGUCAGGCAUCAUUGAUGAUACACCGAUGUUAUGAAAUGAUUAUUAGUUUAAGAUGAGUUGAAUUAAAUGUAUUUAUUUCUUUGUUAUUUUGUAAUUGACACUGCUUUGACUAAUUAUCAUUUGAGUUUUUGAAGAAGCAAA